Long non-coding RNA from Equus caballus (horse), 2182 nucleotides. Lineage: Eukaryota; Metazoa; Chordata; Mammalia; Perissodactyla; Equidae. The record is from Ensembl.
UAGAAUUUCAUGUGAAUUAAAUUAAACCCAUAAAGUCCAUAUAAACCUACACCAUGGCUUGUGAAAACACUACUUAUCACAGAAAAAUGCCAUCGUUUACUCAUCUUUGUAAGCUAGGACAAACUGAGAAAAUGUUCUUCCUAGGAGAACACUCAACUCUCUGUUGCGUCCCAGCCCGUUGCAGCUGAAAAAAAAAAACAAACCAGAACCUUUUCUGAUGGUGGAUUUCUUUUUCUCCUGAGUGAGUCAGAGAACAGACUGUGGCCUACACCAAGAAAAAAAGAAAAAACAUUGAGCCUUACGCACACGGAAAUUUGGGAACCGGAAAGAACGUCUGUGAAAACAGCAGCACGGGGUCCAGGCAACGGCCCCCACUUUCCUGAGUUCUGAACCCGGCUCUGUGGCUUCUCAGGUGAGGAAACGCAGGAAAGAGACCUGCCUGUGGUCCCACCAUCACGUCGCGACAGAGCCGCAGCUGGAAUUCAGGUGUGGUCCUCUUCCCGCUUCUCCACAACUUCCACUUUGGACUUUAAACUUAAUUCCCAGGAUCCUAGGGCCCUUUUUUGUUAUAGACCCCAAAGGCAACUGAAUACAAACACCUAUAAGGCCAGAAAAUACCUCCCUCAUUUUAAUUAUUAAAAACAUUAUGAAAUUGACUAAAUUGUGAUAGAUAUGCAUCCUAAGAGACCAGUAAUUUGCACGAGUUCAUCGUUUUUCUUUAAAUCUUAACAUGAUCUGGAAGGCUUCAGAAGUGCCCUAAUUCUGAUCUUUCUCCGCGUUUUCUUUCGGUUUGUCUCCCUCUGGUGGAUUUAAAAAAAAAUACUUGUUUUUAUUUUCAGAGUAACUAUAGAUUAUUGGGGACAGGUUUUGCUCAAGGUCAGAGUUCAUCUGUUGUCAGCCUGGUUCAUGUUGUGGAACUCCUAGAAAACCAUCUUUCCUGGGUGGGAGUCUUUGCAGAGGCUCGACUUCAGGGAGGGUAGAAACAGGCCCAGCACGUCUGCUCCUUCAUACCUCCGUGAGCGCCAAGAAGCACAUGCGCAGACACAAAGGUGCAUUCAGAGAAUAAGUGGUUUGAAAUGAUUCAGCAUAAAGUGCAAGAGAUUAGCGGUGAAAGGCUGUGGUAAGAGAUGGAGUGGAAGGGUAAGCAGGGACCAAAUCACAGGGCCUUUUAAGUUAUGUUUGAAUCUUAUUUUGUAGGUAAUGGGGAUUGUAUUAGUUAGGAUUAGGCUGCAAAAACAGAAAACCUAUAUAAGUGGCUUUUAAAACAAAAAGUUUACUUCUGUCUGUGUAAAAGAAGUCAGGAAGUAGGCAGUCCAGGGUUUGAUAUGGAGCUCCCUGUCAUCAGUGAUCCAGGGUCCUUCCAGUCACGACUCCAUCUCUAGAGUGUAGCCUUUGUCCUCAUGGUCCAAAAUAGCUGCCAGAGCUCCAGCCAUCAUAUGCAUUUAUGCAAUUGGAUAGCUGCAUUGGCAAUUCAAUCUCAAUUUCCCAGAAAACAAACUGACUGAUUUCUACUCUCAAACCAGCUCUUGCCUUUUGUUCUCUAGCUCCCCAUUUUACUAUAGGAAAGAGCAAUGAAAUGAGACUCAGGAAGUAUGGGAGACUCUGGAGCUGAGGACAGAGAGUGAGUUCAGAAAACAUACAAGAGAGAUUUAAAAAGGAGUGGGGACCAGGCAUGCUAAAUGCUGCACAGAGGUCAAGCCACACAAGAUCUGAAGGUCGGCGUUUACAGAGCUGGCAGUAAGGUUAUCCGUGACCUUGGCAAGGGGGCGUCUACACUUUUUUUGUAGUGCAGAGCCCGAUUCAAUGUUGAAGCUCAGGGACGACAACUGCACCGUUCUUGCCUCUCACUGUCGUGUUGAUGAGCGCCCUGUGCUUGUCCCAGCCGUGGCUGGGACUUACCACUUCCCUUGAGGUUAGCCUCCAGUGAGAAAGAGCUGAAGUCGUCGGAGCUGCGUUUGUGGAAAAAAGCCUGGGUUCUCUGACCCUGUUCGCACCUCAGUUCUGCUCCUCUAGCUCCACUCUGUGUUUCCUGGACAACUGCUUCUCUGGACCUUAAUGGCCCCUGCUCCCUCCUUAGUUUUAACGGCCAUCUUGACUUCUUAGCAUCUUCUUUAGGACACAGUCUGGUGUUCUCCCGGCUUCUACCACUUACAGCUGCCCAGGCCCACAGCCCCGACGGAUG